AGAUUGAACGCUGGCGGCAUGCCUUACACAUGCAAGUCGAACGGCAGCACGGGAGCAAUCCUGGUGGCGAGUGGCGAACGGGUGAGUAAUACAUCGGAACGUGCCCAGUAGUGGGGGAUAACCCGGCGAAAGCCGGACUAAUACAGCAUACGACCUACGGGUGAAAGCGAGGGGAUCGCAAGACCUUGCGUUAUUGGAGCGGCCGAUGUCAGAUUAGCUUGGUUGGACGGGGUAAAAGCCCACCAAGGCGACGAUCUGUAGC
Molecule: ribosomal RNA, 262 nt
Filed under: uncultured bacterium
Lineage: Bacteria
Description: partial small subunit ribosomal RNA
Rfam family: Bacterial small subunit ribosomal RNA
Source: RNAcentral